UUUUUCAGGACAAAUACUAGAGUAGUGACCAUACUUCUGACAAUUAAAACACCAAAUGUGACUUUUGUCAGGUUUUCGACCACCACCUUUUCCUCUACCUACAACACCACCUCGUUUGGUUACUUUGGAAUGAUGGUCUUCUCUGAUUCGACCAACACUUCCCUUUGCCUUUCUUUUCUCUUGUUGAUUGCACGCUGAUUCAACAUCACUAGAAUUUUUUUCCAAAAUAACCAACUUAAGAAAAAUUAAU
This 250-nucleotide long non-coding RNA is filed under the name Lathyrus oleraceus (garden pea). RNAcentral's name for it is "Pisum sativum (pea) long non-coding RNA (PSAT_LNC003232)". The record is from RNAcentral. Lineage: Eukaryota; Viridiplantae; Streptophyta; Magnoliopsida; Fabales; Fabaceae.